AACGCGAAGAACCUUACCUGGACUAGAAUGUGAGGGAAGGGCGUCUAACAGCGUCCGUCCGAGCAAUCGGACCCAAAACAAGGUGCUGCAUGGCUGUCGUCAGCUCGUGUCGUGAGAUGUUGGGUUAAGUCCCGCAACGAGCGCAACCCUUAUUGACAGUUGCCAAUAUUAAGUUAGGAACUCUGUCAAGACUGCCGUUGAUAAAACGGAGGAAGGUGGGGACGAUGUCAAGUCAUCAUGGCCUUUAUGUUCAGGGCUACACACGUGCUACAAUGGAUGGUACAAAACGUCGCAAUCCCGCAAGGGGGAGCUAAUCGCAAAAACCAUUCUCAGUUCGGAUCGGAGUCUGCAACUCGACUCCGUGAAGUUGGAAUCGCUAGUAAUCGCAAAUCAGCAUGUUGCGGUGAAUACGUUCCCGGGUCUUGUACACACCG
This 434-nucleotide ribosomal RNA is filed under the name uncultured bacterium. RNAcentral describes it as "bacterial SSU rRNA". It matches the Rfam family "Bacterial small subunit ribosomal RNA", at positions 958 to 1392 of the family's 1533-position model. The record is from RNAcentral.